GCCGGGCGCGGUGGCGCGCGCCUGUAGUCCCAGCUGCUCGGGCGGCUGAGGCAGGAGGAUCGCUGGCAUGAGGAUCGCUGAGGCAGGAGUCCUGGGCUGUAGUGCGCUAUGCCGAUCUAUGUCCGCACUAAGUUCGGCAUCAAUAUGGUGACCUCCUGGGAGCGGGGGACCACCAGGUUGCCUAAGGAGGGGUGAACCGGCCCAGGUCAGAAACGGAGCAGGUCAAGGAUAUAAAAGAGGGGCUCCUGGGCGGCUCAGAUGGUUGAUCGUCUGACUUAUGCCCAGGUCAUGAUCUCACGGUUGGCGAAUUCAAGCCCU
Molecule: signal recognition particle RNA, 318 nt
Filed under: Suricata suricatta (meerkat)
Lineage: Eukaryota; Metazoa; Chordata; Mammalia; Carnivora; Herpestidae
Description: Metazoan signal recognition particle RNA (ENSSSUG00005016679.1)
Rfam family: Metazoan signal recognition particle RNA
About the family: The signal recognition particle (SRP) is a universally conserved ribonucleoprotein. It is involved in the co-translational targeting of proteins to membranes. The eukaryotic SRP consists of a 300-nucleotide 7S RNA and six proteins: SRPs 72, 68, 54, 19, 14, and 9.
Source: RNAcentral